UACGGGGGGAGCAAGCGUUGUUCGGAUUUACUGGGCGUAAAGGGCGCGUAGGCGGUCACUCCAAGUCGGUUGUGAAAUCCCUCAGCUCAACUGAGGAACCGCAUCCGAUACUGUUUGCCUUGAGGACGAGAGGGGAGAGUGGAACUUCUGGUGAAGCGGUGAAAUGCGUAGAUAUCAGAAGGAACGCCGGUGGCGAAAGCGACUCUCUGGCUCGUAUCUGACGCUGAGGCGCGAAAGCUUGGGUAGCAAACGGG
RNAcentral lists this ribosomal RNA (254 nucleotides) under uncultured bacterium. RNAcentral describes it as "partial 16S ribosomal RNA". It matches the Rfam family "Bacterial small subunit ribosomal RNA", at positions 524 to 776 of the family's 1533-position model. The record is from RNAcentral.